This 73-nucleotide transfer RNA is filed under the name Diaphorina citri (Asian citrus psyllid). It matches the Rfam family "tRNA". From Rfam's summary of the family: Transfer RNA (tRNA) molecules are approximately 80 nucleotides in length. Their secondary structure includes four short double-helical elements and three loops (D, anti-codon, and T loops). Further hydrogen bonds mediate the characteristic L-shaped molecular structure. tRNAs have two regions of fundamental functional importance: the anti-codon, which is responsible for specific mRNA codon recognition, and the 3' end, to which the tRNAs corresponding amino acid is attached (by aminoacyl-tRNA synthetases). tRNAs cope with the degeneracy of the genetic code in two manners: having more than one tRNA (with a specific anti-codon) for a particular amino acid; and 'wobble' base-pairing, i.e. permitting non-standard base-pairing at the 3rd anti-codon position. The record is from Rfam by way of RNAcentral. Lineage: Eukaryota; Metazoa; Arthropoda; Insecta; Hemiptera; Psyllidae.
GCCUAGUUAGCUUGGUUGGUAGCGCGUCUGCCUUGUAAGCGCUAGGCCGCGGGUUUGAUUCCCGCCCGGGGCA